GGCGAACGCUGGCGGCGUGCUUAACACAUGCAAGUCGAGCGAGACCCCGCUUUCGGGUGGGUGUUCUAGCGGCGAACGGGUGAGUAACACGUGGGCAACCUGCCCUCAGCUCUGGGAUAACUCCAAGAAAUUGGGGCUAAUACCGGAUAUGACCGCUGACCGCAUGGUCUGGUGGUGGAAAGAUUUAUCGGCUGGGGAUGGGCCCGCGGCCUAUCAGCUUGUUGGUGGGGUAGUGGCCUACCAAGGCGACGACGGGUAGCCGGCCUGAGAGGGUGACCGGCCACACUGGGACUGAGACACGGCCCAGACUCCUACGGGAGGCAGCAGUGGGGAAUAUUGCGCAAUGGGCGAAAGCCUGACGCAGCGACGCCGCGUGGGGGAUGACGGCCUUCGGGUUGUAAACCUCUUUCAGCAGGGACGAAGCGAAAGUGACGGUACCUGCAGAAGAAGCACCGGCCAACUACGUGCCAGCAGCCGCCGUAA
Molecule: ribosomal RNA, 483 nt
Filed under: uncultured bacterium
Lineage: Bacteria
Description: partial 16S ribosomal RNA
Rfam family: Bacterial small subunit ribosomal RNA
Source: RNAcentral